CCUACGGGAGGCAGCAGUGGGGAAUAUUGCACAAUGGACGAAAGUCUGAUGCAGCAACGCCGCGUGGAGGAUGACACAUUUCGGUGCGUAAACUCCUUUUAUAUGAGAAGAUAAUGACGGUAUUAUAUGAAUAAGCACCGGCUAACUCCGUGCCAGCAGCCGCGGUAAUACGGGGGGUGCAAGCGUUACUCGGAAUCACUGGGCGUAAAGAGCAUGUAGGCGGAUUAAUAAGUUUGAAGUGAAAUCCUAUAGCUUAACUAUAGAACUGCUUUGAAAACUGUUAAUCUAGAAUGUGGGAGAGGUAGAUGGAAUUUCUGGUGUAGGGGUAAAAUCCGUAGAGAUCAGAAGGAAUACCGAUUGCGAAGGCGAUCUACUGGAACAUUAUUGACGCUGAGAUGCGAAAGCGUGGGGAGCAAACAGGAUUAGAUACCCUGGUAGUCCACGCCCUAAACGAUGUACACUAGUUGUUGUGAGACUUGAUCUUGCAGUAAUGCAGUUAACACAUUAAGUGUACCGCCUGGGGAGUACGGUCGCAAGAUUAAAACUCAAAUGAAUUGACGG
This 561-nucleotide ribosomal RNA is filed under the name uncultured bacterium. RNAcentral's name for it is "bacterial SSU rRNA". It matches the Rfam family "Bacterial small subunit ribosomal RNA", at positions 338 to 916 of the family's 1533-position model. The record is from RNAcentral.